UGGGGAAUUUUGCACAAUGGGGGAAACCCUGAUGCAGCGACGCCGCGUGAUUUAGAAGGCCUUCGGGUUGCAAAAAUCUUUUUUACGGGAUGAAAAUGACAGUACCGUAAGAAUAAGGUCCGGCUAAAUACGUGCCAGCAGCCGCGGUAAUACGUAUGGACCGAGCGUUGUCCGGAAUCAUUGGGCGUAAAGGGUACGUAGGCGGCCUAAUAAGUUAGAAGUGAAAGAAUAUAGCUCAACUAUAUAAAGCUUUUAAAACUGUUAGGCUUGAGAGAUGAAAGGGAAAGUGGAAUUCCUAGUGUAGCGGUGAAAUGCGCAGAUAUUAGGAAGAAUACCGGUGGCGAAGGCGACUUUCUGGUCAUCAUCUGACGCUGAGGUACGAAAGCGUGGGUAGCAAACAGG
Molecule: ribosomal RNA, 402 nt
Filed under: bacterium
Lineage: Bacteria
Description: partial 16S ribosomal RNA
Rfam family: Bacterial small subunit ribosomal RNA
Source: RNAcentral